UUGCAGCCAAUUAAACUGACUGUAUUCUUUUCCCCGUGGGGGCCUGGAGUGCAAUGGCUGCAAACAGCAGCCUCCUCGGUAAUGUAUGCAGCCUUUUGCCUGUACAGGUUGCCCUAACGGACCUUGGAGACAGCC
Catagonus wagneri (Chacoan peccary) is the source of this 135-nucleotide small nucleolar RNA. Its record names the gene SNORA70. It matches the Rfam family "Small nucleolar RNA SNORA70". From Rfam's summary of the family: snoRNA U70 seems to be exclusive to mammals and is a member of the H/ACA class of snoRNA which contain H (ANANNA) and ACA box motifs. H/ACA box snoRNAs are involved in the conversion of uridines to pseudouridines (5-ribosyluracil) a constituent of structural RNAs (transfer, ribosomal, small nuclear, and small nucleolar). NCBI's taxonomy places the organism in Eukaryota, Metazoa, Chordata, Mammalia, Artiodactyla, Tayassuidae. The record is from Ensembl.